GACGAACGCUGGCGGCGUGCUUAACACAUGCAAGUCGAACGGAAAGGCCCUGCUUUUGUGGGGUGCUCGAGUGGCGAACGGGUGAGUAACACGUGAGUAACCUGCCCUUGACUUUGGGAUAACUUCAGGAAACUGGGGCUAAUACCGGAUAGGAGCUACUGCUGCAUGGUGGGGGUUGGAAAGUUUCGGCGGUUGGGGCUGGAUUCGCGGCUUAUCAGCUUGUUGGGGGGGUAGUGGCUUACCAAGGCUUUGACGGGUAGCCCGCCUGAGAGGGUGACCGGCCACAUUGGGACUGAGAUACGGCCCAGACUCCGACGGGAGGCAGCAGUGGGGAAUAUUGCACAAUGGGCGGAAGCCGGAUGCAGCAACGCCGCGUGCGGGAUGACGGCCUUCGGGUUGUAAACCGCUUUCGCCUGUGACGAAGCGUGAGUGACGGUAAUGGGUAAAGAAGCACCGGCUAACUACGUG
This 468-nucleotide ribosomal RNA is filed under the name uncultured bacterium. RNAcentral describes it as "partial 16S ribosomal RNA". It matches the Rfam family "Bacterial small subunit ribosomal RNA", at positions 28 to 507 of the family's 1533-position model. The record is from RNAcentral.